GGGGCAACCUGGUGGCGAGUGGCGAACGGGUGAGUAAAGUAUCGGAACGUACCAUUCAGUGGGGGAUGACGUAGCGAAAGUUACGCUAAUACCGCAUAUUCUCUUAGGAGGAAAGCAGGGGAUCGCAAGACCUUGCGCUGAUUGAGUGGCCGAUAUCAGAUUAGCUAGUUGGUGAGGUAAAGGCUCACCAAGGCGACGAUCUGUAGCGGGUCUGAGAGGAUGAUCCGCCACACUGGAACUGAGACACGGUCCAGACUCCUACGGGAGGCAGCAGUGGGGAAUUUUGGACAAUGGGGGCAACCCUGAUCCAGCCAUGCCGCGUGAGUGAAGAAGGCCUUCGGGUUGUAAAGCUCUUUCGGCCGGGAAGAAAUCGCAUGGGUUAAUACCCUGUGUGGAUGACGGUACCGGAAUAAGAAGCACCGGCUAACUACGUGCCAGCAGCCGCGGUAAUACGUAGGGUGCGAGCGUUAAUCGGAAUUACUGGGCGUAAAGCGUGCGCAGGCGGUUUUGUAAGACAGGCGUGAAAUCCCCGGGCUUAACCUGGGAACUGCGCUUGUGACUGCAAGGCUAGAGUACGGCAGAGGGGGGUGGAAUUCCACGUGUAGCAGUGAAAUGCGUAGAGAUGUGGAGGAACACCAAUGGCGAAGGCAGCCCCCUGGGUCGAUACUGACGCUCAUGCACGAAAGCGUGGGUGGCAAACAGGAUUAGAUACCCUGGUAGUCCACGCCCUAAACGAUGUCAACUAGGUUGGGUGGGUAAAACCAUUUAGUACCUGAGCUAACGCGUGAAGUUGACCGCCUGGGGAGUACGGCCGCAAGGUUAAAACUCAAAGGAAUUGACGGGGACCCGCACAAGCGGUGGAUGAUGUGGAUUAAUUCGAUGCAACGCGAAAAACCUUACCUACCCUUGACAUGUUCAGAAGUCUCGAGAGAUUGAGAUGUGCCCGAAAGGGAGCUGGAACACAGGUGCUGCAUGGCUGUCGUCAGCUCGUGUCGUGAGAUGUUGGGUUAAGUCCCGCAACGAGCGCAACCCUUGUCGUUAAUUGCCAUCAUUUAGUUGGGCACUUUAACGAGACUGCCGGUGACAAACCGGAGGAAGGUGGGGAUGACGUCAAGUCCUCAUGGCCCUUAUGGGUAGGGCUUCACACGUCAUACAAUGGUCGGUACAAAGGGUCGCCAAGCCGCGAGGUGGAGCCAAUCCCAGAAAGCCGAUCGUAGUCCGGAUCGUAGGCUGCAACUCGCCUGCGUGAAGUCGGAAUCGCUAGUAAUCGUGGAUCAGCAUGUCACGGUGAAUACGUUCCCGGGUCUUGUACACACCGCCCGUCACACCAUGGGAGCGGGUUCCGCCAGAAGUAGGUAGCCUAACCGCAAGGAGGGCGCUUACCACGGCGGGGUUCGUGACUGGGGUGAAGUCGUAACAAGGUA
RNAcentral lists this ribosomal RNA (1424 nucleotides) under metagenome. RNAcentral describes it as "bacterial SSU rRNA". It matches the Rfam family "Bacterial small subunit ribosomal RNA". The record is from RNAcentral.